This 71-nucleotide transfer RNA is filed under the name Agaricus bisporus var. burnettii JB137-S8. RNAcentral describes it as "tRNA-Pro (TGG) (tRNA-Pro-TGG-1-1)". It matches the Rfam family "tRNA". From Rfam's summary of the family: Transfer RNA (tRNA) molecules are approximately 80 nucleotides in length. Their secondary structure includes four short double-helical elements and three loops (D, anti-codon, and T loops). The record is from RNAcentral. Lineage: Eukaryota; Fungi; Basidiomycota; Agaricomycetes; Agaricales; Agaricaceae. RNAcentral also lists the same sequence under 1 other name.
GGCUUCGUAGUCUAGAGGUACGAUACUUGCUUUGGGUGCAAGUGGCCCGGGUUCGAUUCCCGGCGAAGCCC